GAUGAAGAACGUAGCGAAAUGCGAUAAGUAGUGUGAAUUGCAGAAUUCAGUGAAUCAUCGAAUCUUUGAACGCACAUUGCGCCCCUUGGUAUUCCAUGGGGCAUGCCUGUUCGAGCGUCAUUUGUACCUUCAAGCUCUGCUUGGUGUUGGGUGUUUGUCUCGCCUCUGCGUGUAGACUCGCCUCAAAACAAUUGGCAGCCGGCGUAUUGAUUUCGGAGCGCAGUACAUCUCGCGAUUUGCACUCAUAACGACGACGUCCAAAAGUACAUUUUUACACUCUUGACCUCGGAUCAGGUAGGGAUACCCGCUGAACUUAAGCAUAUCAAUAAGCGGAGGA
This 337-nucleotide unclassified non-coding RNA is filed under the name soil metagenome. RNAcentral describes it as "partial contains 5.8S ribosomal RNA, internal transcribed spacer 2, and large subunit ribosomal RNA". The stretch from base 1 to 120 matches the Rfam family "5.8S ribosomal RNA", at positions 35 to 154 of the family's 154-position model. The record is from RNAcentral.